This is a long non-coding RNA of Apis cerana (Asiatic honeybee), 1216 nucleotides long. RefSeq lists it as uncharacterized. Lineage: Eukaryota; Metazoa; Arthropoda; Insecta; Hymenoptera; Apidae. The record is from RefSeq and is a predicted model, not a curated record.
ACUGCUUUAGCGAAUGAUUGAGUGUUCAAAAUAUCUUGGGAUCUGAAAUUAAUAAGGAAUGUGCAAUUAACCAACAAUGUACAAGAUGCUGGGGAACAUAACUGGAACAGUUUCUGGAAUUGAUUAUAUAACAAAUUGUCUCUUAACAUUGAGAAUAUUUCAUAAGGAACAAUUUGAGGAAAGGGAGUUGAAAUUAAAAAAUAAUUAAAAUUAUAUUAAUCACGAUAGGUAAGUUGAAACGCUGUACUAGAAUCAAUUCUCUAAAGAAAUUCUACAUACAUAUUAACAUAUUAUUCAAUAAUAAAUUAUUCUAUUUCAUAAAAUUUAAAAAAUUUUAAAAAUUAUUUUUAUAUUUACCCUUCAUAUUGGACGUUAUUUUCUUCAUAUUGUGGAUUCCUGAAUUGUUCUGUGUUAACAUAAUACAAACUGUGAGAAGCGAGAGGACUGUAAUAAAGAUUGUUCGUCACGGGACUAAGUGCAAUUCCACAAAUUCCAUUUUUCACUGUGAAACUUUCUCCAGCGACUGUCAGUUUGGUAUAUCUGGGAUCGUAAUCGAAAGUAUUGGAAGUCAAUCGAUGGAAGGAAUCGUCGGAAUUUUGAUAGAUGAUUAAAGCUUCACCUCUUUCGUCUGCUAUGUACACCUAUCAUUAUUAUCACAGUAUGAUUAUUUUGCUAUUAAUAAUACUUUUCGAUAAAUUUCAAUUUUUUUCUUGAUUUUGUAACUUUUAUAUUAUCUUAUAAAUUUUAAUAUACUGAAGGCGAAUCUAUCAGAAUACACGUGAAUGAGUUUUUUUUAAAAAAAUUAACUUUUUUAUUUUGAAAGUGUUUUUUCCUUUAAAAUCAUUUUUUUCGAAAUGAUUAUUAUUUUUUAAAUAUAUAAAUAUGAAAACAAUGAUCCGAAUUAAAAGAAAAAUACAUGAAAAAUACGUAUAUUUUUUGCAAAUAUAUUUCAAAAAUUAGUGAUUCAGAGGAAAAUCUAAUAUCCUAUGAAAUCUUUUUAUUAAUGAAGGUAUUAAAAAAAGUUACAAAAUCAAUUUUUCUUUUAUUUUUUAAAAAUGAAAUAGUGUAUAAUAUUGUGUUAAAAUUAUUUGGCAAAAUAUUAUGAAAUAUUUAAAAAUUAUGGAUUUUAUUAAAGCCAUAUAAAGAAUUUCCAUUAUAGAAAUUAACUAAACGUAAAAGUAAAAUAAAAUAUUUCUAUGAAAAGGAACUAUGAAAG